GGCCGCCUGGCGAAAUGGCAUCGCGUCUGACUACGAUCGAAGCGUAGUGCAUCGCAAUCAGGAGAUUGCAGGUUCGACCCCUGCGGUGGUCA
Non-coding RNA from Marasmius sp. AFHP31, 92 nucleotides. The record is from the annotation of a GenBank genome assembly. NCBI's taxonomy places the organism in Eukaryota, Fungi, Basidiomycota, Agaricomycetes, Agaricales, Marasmiaceae.